Molecule: non-coding RNA, 45 nt
Organism: Schistosoma mattheei
Lineage: Eukaryota; Metazoa; Platyhelminthes; Trematoda; Strigeidida; Schistosomatidae
Source: Rfam
AUCCAACUGAUGAGUCCCAAACGAGGCGAAACACCAGUCCUGGAU